CCUACGGGAGGCAGCAGUGAGGAAUAUUGGUCAAUGGGCGAGAGCCUGAACCAGCCAAGUCGCGUGAAGGAUGACGGAUCUAUGGUUUGUAAACUUCUUUUAUAUGGGAAUAAAGUGAGGAACGUGUUCCUUUUUGUAUGUACCAUAUGAAUAAGCAUCGGCUAACUCCGUGCCAGCAGCCGCGGUAAUACGGAGGAUGCCAGCGUUAUCCGGAUUUAUUGGGUUUAAAGGGUGCGUAGGUGGUUAGUUACGUCAGCGGUGAAAGUGUGUGGCCAAAGCAGGAAAGUGCCGUUGAAACUGGUUGACUUGAGUAUAUUUGAGGUAGGCGGAAUGCGUGGUGUAGCGGUGAAAUGCAUAGAUAUCACGCAGAACUCCGAUUGCGAAGGCAGCUUACGAAACCAUAACUGACACUGAAGCACGAAAGCGUGGGGAUCAAACAGGAUUAGAUACCCGAGUAGUC
Molecule: ribosomal RNA, 460 nt
Filed under: uncultured bacterium
Lineage: Bacteria
Description: partial 16S ribosomal RNA
Rfam family: Bacterial small subunit ribosomal RNA
Source: RNAcentral